UACGGAGGGUGCGAGCGUUAAUCGGAAUUACUGGGCGUAAAGCGUGCGCAGGCGGUUUGUUAAGCGAGAUGUGAAAGCCCCGGGCUCAACCUGGGAACCGCAUUUCGAACUGGCAAACUAGAGUCUUGUAGAGGGGGGUAGAAUUCCAGGUGUAGCGGUGAAAUGCGUAGAUAUCGGGAGGAACACCAGUAGCGAAGGCGGCCAUCUGGCUGGUAACUGACGCUGAGGUGCGAGAGCGUGGGGAGCAAACAGG
This 253-nucleotide ribosomal RNA is filed under the name uncultured microorganism. RNAcentral's name for it is "partial 16S ribosomal RNA". It matches the Rfam family "Bacterial small subunit ribosomal RNA", at positions 524 to 776 of the family's 1533-position model. The record is from RNAcentral.